AUAAUACUCCCUCCGUCCCAUAUUAAGUGACUCAAAUUUGUCUAAAAAUGGACGUAUCUAUAUACUAAAAUACGUCUAGAUACAUAUAAUAUUUCAGCACUUAAUAUAGGACGGAGGGAGUAGUAG
Molecule: non-coding RNA, 126 nt
Organism: Brachypodium distachyon (stiff brome)
Lineage: Eukaryota; Viridiplantae; Streptophyta; Magnoliopsida; Poales; Poaceae
Source: Rfam